UACGUAGGGUGCGAGCGUUGUCCGGAAUUAUUGGGCGUAAAGAGCGUGUAGGCGGCCCGGUAAGUCCGCUGUGAAAGUCGGGGGCUCAACCCUCGAAUGCCGGUGGAUACUGUCGGGCUAGAGUGCGGAAGAGGCGAGUGGAAUUCCUGGUGUAGCGGUGAAAUGCGCAGAUAUCAGGAGGAACACCGAUUGCGAAGGCAGCUCGCUGGGACGUCACUGACGCUGAGACGCGAAAGCGUGGGGAGCAAACAGG
Molecule: ribosomal RNA, 253 nt
Filed under: uncultured bacterium
Lineage: Bacteria
Description: partial 16S ribosomal RNA
Rfam family: Bacterial small subunit ribosomal RNA
Source: RNAcentral